RNAcentral lists this ribosomal RNA (253 nucleotides) under uncultured microorganism. RNAcentral's name for it is "partial 16S ribosomal RNA". It matches the Rfam family "Bacterial small subunit ribosomal RNA", at positions 524 to 776 of the family's 1533-position model. The record is from RNAcentral.
UACGUAGGGUGCGAGCGUUAAUCGGAUUUACUGGGCGUAAAGCGUGCGCAGGCGGCCCGUUAAGACAGGUGUGAAAUCCCUGGGCUCAACCUAGGAAUUGCGCUUGUGACUGGCGGGCUCGAGUACGGUAGAGGGGGGUGGAAUUCCUGGUGUAGCAGUGAAAUGCGUAGAUAUCGGGAGGAACGCCGAAGGCGAAAGCGGGUUCCUGGGCCUAUACUGACGCUGAGACGCGAAAGCUAGGGGAGCAAACAGG